This 438-nucleotide long non-coding RNA is filed under the name Physcomitrium patens. Its description in RNAcentral is "long non-coding RNA (PPAT_LNC014829)". Lineage: Eukaryota; Viridiplantae; Streptophyta; Bryopsida; Funariales; Funariaceae. The record is from RNAcentral.
AACCCUAAUAAUUCCUAAAUCCUAAGUCAAAUCCUAAACAAAUCUUAAAUUAAAUCCUAUUUCAAACCCUAAACCCUAAACCAAACCCUAAAUCAAAUCCUAAACCAAACCCUAAUCCAAUCCUAAACCCUAAACCAAACCUUAAAUCAAAUCCUAACCAAACCCUAGUCCAAACUCUAAUCCAAACCCUAAAUCAAACCCUAACUAAAUCCUAAACCCUAAUCCAAAUCCUAAUCCAACCUAAUCCAAUCUUAAACUCUAAUCCAAAUCCUAAACCCUAAACCAAACCUUAAAUCAAACCCUAACCAAACCAUAAACCAAACCUUAAAUCAAACCCUAACCAAACCCUAAACCAAACCUUAAAUCAAAUCCUAACCAAAUCCUAAUCCAAACCCUAAAUCAAACCCUAACCAAAUCCUAAACCCUAAUCCAAACCCU